RNAcentral lists this ribosomal RNA (481 nucleotides) under uncultured bacterium. RNAcentral describes it as "partial 16S ribosomal RNA". It matches the Rfam family "Bacterial small subunit ribosomal RNA", at positions 30 to 507 of the family's 1533-position model. The record is from RNAcentral.
UUGAACGCUGGCGGCAUGCCUUACACCUGCAAGUCGCACGGUAACAGGUCUUCGGAUGCUGACGAGUGGCGAACGGGUGAGUAAUACAUCGGAACGUGCCCAGACGUGGGGGAUAACGAGGCGAAAGCUUUGCUAAUACCGCAUACGAUCUAAGGAUGAAAGCAGGGGACCGCAAGGCCUUGUGCGUUUGGAGCGGCCGAUGGCAGAUUAGGUAGUUGGUGGGAUAAAAGCUUACCAAGCCGACGAUCUGUAGCUGGUCUGAGAGGACGACCAGCCACACUGGGACUGAGACAUGGCCCAGACUCCUACGGGAGGCAGCAGUGGGGAAUUUUGGACAAUGGGCGAAAGCCUGAUCCAGCAAUGCCGCGUGCAGGAUGAAGGCCUUCGGGUUGUAAACUGCUUUUGUACGGAACGAAAAGGCUCUGGCUAAUACCUGGGGCACAUGACGGUACCGUAAGAAUAAGCACCGGCUAACUACGUG